GAUGAACGCUGGCGGCGUGCUUAACACAUGCAAGUCGAACGGUGAAAGAGAGCUUGCUCUCUGGAUCAGUGGCGAACGGGUGAGUAACACGUGGGCAAUCUGCCCCUGACUCUGGGAUAAGCGCUGGAAACGGCGUCUAAUACCGGAUACGAGCUGCGAAGGCAUCUUCAGCAGCUGGAAAGAACUUCGGUCAGGGAUGAGCUCGCGGCCUAUCAGCUAGUUGGUGAGGUAACGGCUCACCAAGGCGUCGACGGGUAGCCGGCCUGAGAGGGUGACCGGCCACACUGGGACUGAGACACGGCCCAGACUCCUACGGGAGGCAGCAGUGGGGAAUAUUGCACAAUGGGCGAAAGCCUGAUGCAGCAACGCCGCGUGAGGGACGACGGCCUUCGGGUUGUAAACCUCUUUUAGCAGGGAAGAAGCGAAAGUGACGGUACCUGCAGAAAAAGCACCGGCUAACUACGUG
RNAcentral lists this ribosomal RNA (466 nucleotides) under uncultured bacterium. RNAcentral's name for it is "partial 16S ribosomal RNA". It matches the Rfam family "Bacterial small subunit ribosomal RNA", at positions 28 to 507 of the family's 1533-position model. The record is from RNAcentral.